GUCUCGGUAGCUCAGUGGUUAGAGCACACGGCUGUUAACCGUGAGGUCGAAGGUUCAAAUCCUUCCCGGGACG
This 73-nucleotide transfer RNA is filed under the name Nanobdellota archaeon. Its description in RNAcentral is "tRNA-Asn". It matches the Rfam family "tRNA". Rfam says of the family: Transfer RNA (tRNA) molecules are approximately 80 nucleotides in length. Their secondary structure includes four short double-helical elements and three loops (D, anti-codon, and T loops). The record is from RNAcentral. Lineage: Archaea; Nanobdellati; Nanobdellota. RNAcentral also lists the same sequence under 1 other name.